This 253-nucleotide ribosomal RNA is filed under the name uncultured bacterium. RNAcentral describes it as "partial 16S ribosomal RNA". It matches the Rfam family "Bacterial small subunit ribosomal RNA", at positions 524 to 776 of the family's 1533-position model. The record is from RNAcentral.
UACAGAGGGGGCAAGCGUUGUUCGGAAUUACUGGGCGUAAAGUGUGCGCAGGUGGCUUCGCAAGUCGAGUGUGAAAUCCCCGGGCUUAACCUGGGAAUUGCGCUCGAAACUACGGAGCUGGAGUGUGGCAGAGGGAGGUGGAAUUCCACGUGUAGCGGUGAAAUGCGUAGAGAUGUGGAGGAACACCAAUGGCGAAGGCAGCCUCCUGGGCCAACACUGACACUCAUGCACGAAAGCGUGGGGAGCAAACAGG